Molecule: long non-coding RNA, 391 nt
Filed under: Canis lupus dingo (dingo)
Lineage: Eukaryota; Metazoa; Chordata; Mammalia; Carnivora; Canidae
Description: lncRNA (ENSCAFG00020014343.1)
Rfam family: Nuclear RNase P (bases 124-391)
About the family: Ribonuclease P (RNase P) is a ubiquitous endoribonuclease, found in archaea, bacteria and eukarya as well as chloroplasts and mitochondria. Its best characterised activity is the generation of mature 5'-ends of tRNAs by cleaving the 5'-leader elements of precursor-tRNAs.
Source: RNAcentral
GGGGCGGGGCGGGGCUCCCCGCGGUAUUUGCAUGCUGCUGUGUGUUAUGGGAAGUCGCCGUGAGCGAGAAGGGCCGUGCGGGCGGCACCUUAUAAGCGGCGGGAGGGCGGCGCUGCGCAGGGCGGCGGGAAGCUCAGCGGUGGGGCCACGCGCGGAGUGCGCGUCACUCUCUCGGCCCCUGGGAAGGUCUGAGACUCGGGCCAGCAGCGGCCCUAGCAGGGCCCUCCCCGCGCGCGGGGGGGUGAGUUCCCAGAGAGCGGGCCCCGGAGAGGGCCUUCGGGCAGGAGAGGCCGCGCGCGCGGCGGAUGCCCCCUCCCCGGGGCUUGGAAUAGACUCACGGCCGGCACGGGUGCGCAUGGAGGAGGGACAUGGUCUCCCGACGCCUUACUAA